GAAUAUUGGACAAUGGGCGCAAGCCUGAUCCAGCCAUGCCGCGUGGGUGAAGAAGGCCUUCGGGUUGUAAAGCCCUUUUGUCCGGAAAGAAAAGCAAUCGGUUAAUACCCGGUUGUUCUGACGGUACCGGAAGAAUAAGCACCGGCUAACUUCGUGCCAGCAGCCGCGGUAAUACGAAGGGUGCAAGCGUUACUCGGAAUUACUGGGCGUAAAGCGUGCGUAGGUGGUUCGUUAAGUCCGAUGUGAAAGCCCUGGGCUCAACCUGGGAAUGGCAUGGGAUACUGGCGGGCUAGAGUGCGGUAGAGGGCAGUGGAAUUCCCGGUGUAGCAGUGAAAUGCGUAGAGAUCGGGAGGAACAUCCGUGGCGAAGGCGACUGCCUGGACCAGCACUGACACUGAGGCACGAAAGCGUGGGGAGCAAAC
This 422-nucleotide ribosomal RNA is filed under the name uncultured bacterium. RNAcentral's name for it is "bacterial SSU rRNA". It matches the Rfam family "Bacterial small subunit ribosomal RNA", at positions 359 to 773 of the family's 1533-position model. The record is from RNAcentral.